CUCGGAGUUUGAUCCUGGCUCAGAUUGAACGCUGGCGGAAUGCUUUACGCAUGCAAGUCGAACGAUAGAGGGGGCAACCCCUCGAGAGUGGCGAACGGGUGAGUAAUAUAUCGGAACGUGCCCAGUCGUGGGGGAUAACGUAGCGAAAGUUACGCUAAUACCGCAUACGAUCUAAGGAUGAAAGCGGGGGACUCGCAAGAGCCUCGCGCGAUUGGAGCGGCCGAUAUCAGAUUAGGUAGUUGGUGGGGUAAAGGCUCACCAAGCCAACGAUCUGUAGCUGGUCUGAGAGGACGACCAGCCACACUGGAACUGAGACACGGUCCAGACACCUACGGGGUGCAGCAGUUUUGAAUCGUUCAC
RNAcentral lists this ribosomal RNA (360 nucleotides) under uncultured Limnohabitans sp. RNAcentral describes it as "bacterial SSU rRNA". It matches the Rfam family "Bacterial small subunit ribosomal RNA", at positions 1 to 369 of the family's 1533-position model. The record is from RNAcentral. Lineage: Bacteria; Pseudomonadati; Pseudomonadota; Betaproteobacteria; Burkholderiales; Comamonadaceae.